UGGUUCCUCCAAGUUAAUUCACAGAGGG
Molecule: non-coding RNA, 28 nt
Filed under: Rattus norvegicus (Norway rat)
Lineage: Eukaryota; Metazoa; Chordata; Mammalia; Rodentia; Muridae
Source: RNAcentral